RNAcentral lists this ribosomal RNA (545 nucleotides) under uncultured bacterium. RNAcentral describes it as "bacterial SSU rRNA". It matches the Rfam family "Bacterial small subunit ribosomal RNA", at positions 51 to 590 of the family's 1533-position model. The record is from RNAcentral.
ACACAUGCAGUCGAGCGGCAGCACGGGUACUUGUACCUGGUGGCGAGCGGCGGACGGGUGAGUAAUGCCUAGGAAUCUGCCUAGUAGUGGGGGAUAACGUCCGGAAACGGGCGCUAAUACCGCAUACGUCCUACGGGAGAAAGUGGGGGAUCUUCGGACCUCACGCUAUUAGAUGAGCCUAGGUCGGAUUAGCUAGUUGGUGAGGUAAUGGCUCACCAAGGCGACGAUCCGUAACUGGUCUGAGAGGAUGAUCAGUCACACUGGAACUGAGACACGGUCCAGACUCCUACGGGAGGCAGCAGUGGGGAAUAUUGGACAAUGGGCGAAAGCCUGAUCCAGCCAUGCCGCGUGUGUGAAGAAGGUCUUCGGAUUGUAAAGCACUUUAAGUUGGGAGGAAGGGCAGUUACCUAAUACGUGAUUGUUUUGACGUUACCGACAGAAUAAGCAUUUUCUAACUCUGUGCCAGCAGCCGCGGUAAUACAGAGGGUGCAAGCGUUAAUCGGAAUUACUGGGCGUAAGGCGCGCGUAGGUGGUUUGUUAAUUUG